RNAcentral lists this ribosomal RNA (483 nucleotides) under uncultured bacterium. RNAcentral's name for it is "partial 16S ribosomal RNA". It matches the Rfam family "Bacterial small subunit ribosomal RNA", at positions 28 to 507 of the family's 1533-position model. The record is from RNAcentral.
GACGAACGCUGGCGGCGUGCUUAACACAUGCAAGUCGAACGCUGAAGCUCAGCUUUUGUUGGGUGGAUGAGUGGCGAACGGGUGAGUAACACGUGAGUAACCUGCCUCCUUCUUUGGGAUAACGCCCGGAAACGGGUGCUAAUACUGGAUAUUCACUGGUCUUCGCAUGGGGGUUGGUGGAAAGGGUUUUUCUGGUGGGGGAUGGGCUCGCGGCCUAUCAGCUUGUUGGUGGGGUGAUGGCCUACCAAGGCUUUGACGGGUAGCCGGCCUGAGAGGGUGACCGGUCACAUUGGGACUGAGAUACGGCCCAGACUCGGACGGGGGGCGGCAGUGGGGAAUAUUGCAGAAUGGGCGCAAGCCUGAUGCAGCGAGGCCGCGUGAGGGAUGGAGGCCUUCGGGUUGUGAACCUCUUUCGCUCAUGGUCAAGCCGCAACAAUGGUUGUGGUGAGGGUAGUGGGUAAAGAAGCGCCGGCUAACUACGUG